RNAcentral lists this transfer RNA (77 nucleotides) under Acidimicrobiaceae bacterium. RNAcentral's name for it is "tRNA-Arg". It matches the Rfam family "tRNA". From Rfam's summary of the family: Transfer RNA (tRNA) molecules are approximately 80 nucleotides in length. Their secondary structure includes four short double-helical elements and three loops (D, anti-codon, and T loops). The record is from RNAcentral. Lineage: Bacteria; Bacillati; Actinomycetota; Acidimicrobiia; Acidimicrobiales; Acidimicrobiaceae.
GCCUCCGUGGCGCAACUGGAUAGCGCAGCGGGCUUCUAUCCCGAAGGUUGCAGGUUCGAGUCCUGCCGGGGGCGCUA